This 301-nucleotide ribosomal RNA is filed under the name uncultured bacterium. RNAcentral's name for it is "partial 16S ribosomal RNA". It matches the Rfam family "Bacterial small subunit ribosomal RNA", at positions 509 to 807 of the family's 1533-position model. The record is from RNAcentral.
CAGCCGCCACGGGAAUACGGAGGGUGCAAGCGUUAAUCGGAAUUACUGGGCGUAAAGCGCACGCAGGCGGUCUGUCAAGUCAGAUGUGAAAUCCCCGGGCUUAACCUGGGAACUGCAUUUGAAACUGGCAGGCUAGAGUCUUGUAGAGGGGGGUAGAAUUCCAGGUGUAGCGGUGAAAUGCGUAGAGAUCUGGAGGAAUACCGGUGGCGAAGGCGGCCCCCUGGACAAAGACUGACGCUCAGGUGCGAAAGCGUGGGGAGCAAACAGGAUUAGAUACCCCUGUAGUCCCUGUCUCUUAUAC